Molecule: ribosomal RNA, 1179 nt
Filed under: uncultured korarchaeote
Lineage: Archaea; Thermoproteati; Thermoproteota
Description: bacterial SSU rRNA
Rfam family: Archaeal small subunit ribosomal RNA
Source: RNAcentral
GGGAACCCCUAUCGGGCUCGCACUAAGCCAUGCGAGUCUGCUGGGGGCCCCUGCCCCCGGCGGCGCACGGCUCCGUAAUACACGGUCAACCUGUCCUGGGGACCGGGAUAACCUCGGGAAACUGAGGCUAAUACCGGAUAGGGGUGGAUUCCUGGAAUGGGUCCACCCCUAAAGUAGGCGGGGGGACGGCCCCGCUGAGGCCCCAGGGUGGGACCGUGGCCUAUCAGGUAGUAGGUGGGGUAACGGCCCACCUAGCCUAAGACGGGUACGGGCUCUGAGAGGAGGAGCCCGGAGAUGGGCACUGAGACAAGGGCCCAGGCCCUACGGGGCGCAGCAGGCGGGAAACUUCCCCAAUGCGCGCAAGCGUGAGGGAGUGAGCCCGAGUGCCGCCCGCUGAGGGCGGCUGUUCCCCUGUGUAAAAAGCAGGGGGUAGGAAGGGGAGGGUAAGGCUGGUGCCAGCCGCCGCGGUAAAACCAGCUCCCCGAGGGGUUCCCACGCAUACUGGGCCUAAAGCGUCCGUAGCCGGCCCCGUAAGUCCUCGGUUAAAUCCGCCUGAAGACAGGCGGGCCGCCGAGGAUACUGCGGGCUAGGGAGCGGAGGGCCGAGGUAUUCCGGGGGGAGCGGUAAAAUGCGUAGAUCCCCGGAGGACCACCAGUGGCGGAGGCGCUCGGCUGGAACGCGUCCGACGGUGAGGGACGAAAGCUGGGGGAGCAAACCGGAUUAGAUACCCGGGUAGUCCCAGCCGUAAACGAUGCCGGCUAGGUGCCGGCUGAGGUUUCGGCCUCAGCCGGUGUCGAAGCGAAGGCGUUAAGCCGGCCGCCUGAGGAGUACAGCCGCAAGGCCGAAACUUAAAGGAAUUGACGGGGGGGCACCACAAGGGGUGAAUGCCUGCGGCUCAAUUGGACUCAACGCCGGGAAUCUUACCGGGGGCGACAGCAGGACGAAGGUCAGGCUGAAGACCUUACCUGACGCGCUGAGGGGUGGUGCAUGGCCGUCGCUAGCUCGUGCCGUGAGGUGUCCUGUUAAGUCAGGCAACGAGCGAGACCCCCGCCCUCAGUUGCCAGCGGGGCCCCAAGGGGCUGACCGGGCAAACUGGGGGGACUGCCGGCGAAGAGCCGGAGGAAGGAGGGGGCUACGGCAGGUCAGUAUGCCCCUAAUCCCCCGGGCCGCACGCGGGCU